Bacillus rossius redtenbacheri is the source of this 2330-nucleotide RNA transcript. It is a transcript of the gene named odorant receptor 4-like, with no coding region annotated. NCBI's taxonomy places the organism in Eukaryota, Metazoa, Arthropoda, Insecta, Phasmatodea, Bacillidae. The transcript is spliced from 4 exons. The record is from RefSeq and is a predicted model, not a curated record.
GCCCCGAGGAUGAAAGAAAGAGAUUCGAAUAAAUUAAACUAUGGAAUUAUUACUCAGUGACUCAACGGUGAUGUCCUCGGGGUGUCGACAGAGACGUCCGCUCUCGGCCGGCUGUAGAAGGAGACUGGGAUGAGAUCAUGGUUUGCAGGUGGCAACAUGGCGCCCUUCGCGCCGAACACAAUUACCGUUACAACAUUCUGCGAUUCCGUGCCCCGGCGAAAGUUAAGUAAAUAAUAGAUUACAUUAAUAAAUAUAUAAAAAUUACUGGCAAUUUAAAAUACAUUAAUGUUUACGUCGUUAUUGAGAAUUAUUAUAAAACAUUCCUACCCUCGUCCAAGUCCGUGCCUAUUCGGGUCCGCCCGGGUAACGUCUAUAGUUUUAUAAUUAAUGUAAUAUUUAAAUUGAAGAAACACAUGAUUAAACUGCAACAAGACACUGGGGCAAAAUAAUGAAAGAAAAAGGGUUACAAUAUUAAUUAGCAUACUUAGGGGUGCGGCGCACUGCAUCUAAGCGCCCUCUUGCUGUAGUUCGUGGCGCGCAGUUUGAAUCGCACACGGCUACGUACGUUACGACACAAAUGCCGGGUAGGGAAGGUGUUGGGAAAGGGAACGGAGGAUGAUCAGGCUCGUGGGGCGAAGCCCCGGCUGACGUCAAUGUAUUUCUAUUUCCUUUUCAAAGUUUUAAAAAAUAGGAUGAUAACCAUAAAAUUAAACAAUAUCUCCAACACUUAGGUUUAUAAAAUGUUAUUAAUACCACCCCCUUCCAACCUGAUAGCCAUCUACUGAGAAGCUGAAGCCUUACCAUUUUAUUUAAUUUUUAGUUACCAUGUAAUGCUGUGAUAAAUUCCAUCUAUUAGAUCGGAAUCAUUUUGCCUUUCAGAAUUUUUUUCCUCGUACACGAUGGAAAACUGGUCCACACUCCCUUCGUGCCAAAGAGCUCUUAGAUUCUUUGGCUUGUGGCCCACAGAGACGCUCGCGCCUCUGUACCUUUGUCGCACGGUGGCCAUCCUCGGGUUGCAUGCGUACUACGUCAUCUAUUUCGCAGUCAUGCCCUUCUGGCAAGGUACGGACAAGAUGUUGUACUCGUACAGCUACAUCAUAAUUGCUUCAACGGCCCUGCACCGAGUCGUGAUGAUUCCAGUCAAAAAGAAACAGAUAAUGAGGCUGUGCUCGGACAUGGAGCGGAACUACACGUCCAUGGAGCCCGACAACCUGGGCUCGUCUGUCUCCAGGAAGACCCGAGACAGCAUCAAAACCUUCUGCACGUGGUACAUGUGGAGACAGACCGUCGUGAUGGCCUUCUGGUGCAUGGGAUACGUCAUGUCCAUUCUCUACGACCUCUGCGUGAAAGGCACGCCAUACUCUGAGAUCAAGAAGGAGUUGCCCUACGGAGUGCACUACUCGUUUGACUGGGAGGCAAGCCCAGCGUUCGAAUUGCUGUUUGUGUUCGAGAUGCUGCAGAUCACGACAAUCAUCUACACGAUUAGCAUUUCCGACUGCACUCUCUUCACCAUCGUAGCCCACAUCAGUGGGCAACUGCAGGCUCUCAUCGCUAAGAUACAACUAGAAGAAAUGGAGGAGAGAAAGACAGAUUCGGCUAGCUGUGUACAAACCACUACGGGGAGCAGUCGUGAAAAUAUAAAAAAAAUUAGGACCAAAAUUGAUGUUGAAUGCACCACCAACAAUUCGUCUCGGAAGCAAGAAAACUGUAGGCACAAAGAUGAACAAUUCUUGCACCAUAUAAUAACACACCACAACGAAAUUUACAGAUUUCCUUGGAUUCUCCCGGCAGCAUCUGCCGAUUCAUGAGCUGGGCACUUUAUGAAAGUAACAUACUAUACAACUACUGUCGACUGGGUGAACAACUGACUGGCUGGAGUCUGAGAGUAAAUGAUGCUCUCUUUUACCUCAGCUGGCAAGAUAAGUCUGUGGCGUUCAAAGAAACGUGCUGGAUAAUGAUGGUGCGCGCGCAGAGGCCCAUCAUCCUGAAGGCUGGCCCAUUCUACACGCUAUCUUUCCCGAGUUUCCGCAAGAUCCUGGAGUCUUCAUAUAGUUAUCUGAUGGUGUUAUUGCAGAUGAAUAAAAAACUUUAUAGAGUGUAGUUUCUAACACAGCUUAAACUGCACUGCAAUAGAUGUAAUUUAAGUCACAUUUCACCAAAAUAAAGUACCUACACUUUUAAUUAAUCAUUCAUUCAUUCAUAUUGUAACUUGUAAACACUGUUUAUAAGAGAUUAAUUUAUGAUUUUAUUUAUGAAGAUUUUUUAUAAGAUUAAUGUAUUAACACAACUCUGCACAUAAAUUGAUGAUUGAGUAAAACCUAUCAGAGUUU